This 3257-nucleotide ribosomal RNA is filed under the name Chrysomelobia labidomerae. Its description in RNAcentral is "eukaryotic LSU rRNA". It matches the Rfam family "Eukaryotic large subunit ribosomal RNA", at positions 42 to 2885 of the family's 3401-position model. The record is from RNAcentral. Lineage: Eukaryota; Metazoa; Arthropoda; Arachnida; Trombidiformes; Podapolipidae.
AUCAAUAAGCGGAGGAAAAGAAAACAAAAGUGAUACCCUUAGUAACGGCGAGCGAACAGGGUAAAGCCCAACGCAAAGGCAUAUUAUAUUUGAAUAUAAUAAGCGAUGCUGCGUGUGGGUUAACUGCUUGAGUUUAAAGAAUAAAUUAGCAUGUGUUCAAACGAACUACCAAAUAGUUGGCCAUAGAGGGUGAAAGCCCCGUAUGAUCAUUAUAAGACUAAUUUAUUUUAAUACAAAGGCGUUAACCUGAGAGUAAGAUUGCUUGAGAGUGCAGUCUGAAGUAGGAGGUAUGCAUCUCCUAAGGCUAAAUAUCACUGCGAGACCGAUAGCAAACAAGUAGCGUGAGCGAAAGUUGAAAAGAACUCUGAAGAGAGAGUUCAAAGAGCGUGAAACCACUAAUAGGGAAGCGGUUGUUACCUCGAAUAAGCGUUGCAUUUGUGUGAGGUGUUUGUACUUGUUAAGACUARUUGAAUUAUGUUGAAGUUUAAUUUAUUAAAUGGAGCUAAUUUAAUUAGAAUUUAUACUUGCAAAYAUCUUAUAAAACACAAAUGUGCUAGUAUCUUGUGCUUUCUUAAAGUUUCAUAUUGAUUGUUUAUUGCUUUAUCAAUUUCACCGGGGGAAAUUGAAUAAGAUAGACAAUAUUUAAGUUGUUAGCUAACCUAUUUUUUUUUGUUAGAACAUUCGAUUCUAAUAGAAAAUUUAGGCUGAAACUUAUAUGGUUUAACAGAAAGAAAGUUGUAAGAUAUAGUAGAUCGGUAAGCAACUGCCCCGUCUUGAAACACGGACCAAGGAGCCUAACGUGUACGCAAGUCUUUCAGAUUAAAUAAUAAACUGAGUUUGGCGUAACGAAAGUAAAAGUGUUUGGUUWWUUUUUAUAAACAUAACAUAGCUAUGAGGUUAUGAAUUUAAAUUUAUAAUUGCAAUAGCAAUACAAUUUGUAUAAGUUGUAUUAGAGCGUACACGGUAGUACCCGAAAGAUGGUGAACUAUGCUUGAGCAAGGCGAAGCCAAAGGAAACUUUGGUGGAAGCCUGUAGCAGUUUUGACGUGCAAAUCGAUUGUCAGACUUGAGUAUAGCGGCGAAAGACUAAUCGAACCAUCUAGUAGCUGGUUUCCUCCGAAAUUUCCCGCAGGAUAGCAAGCACUAAAUAAAAUCAUUUAAACCUGUUACAGUCUCAAUAGAAGGUAACGGGGCGUAAAUUGACCUCGUCCUUUUCUUAAACUCGGUCAAUGGGUUUUGUCAUUUUUUUUUAUUUAAAAAAAAAAUUGCCAYACGUUAAAUAGCGUGUUGGAAAGACAGCAAUGAUAAUGUGCUUAGUGGGCCAUUUUUGGUAAGCAGAACUGGCGAUGUGGGAUGAACCGUACACAAAGUUAAAGUGCCAAAGAUUAUUUAUACGCUAAUCAGAUCCCAUUAAAGAUGUUGUUCGCUUAAGACAGUAGGGCGGUGGCCAUGGAAGUCGGUAUCCGCUAAGGAGUGUGUAACAACUCACCUACCGAAGCGUUCAACUCUGAAAAUGGAUGGCGCUAAAGCGUUACACUGAAACUUUGUCGUAGAUUAGUAAAUCCAAUUUUGAAAUGUUGAUUUAUUUUUAUUUUAAAUAAUAAAUAAUAAUUUAACAUAUUAAACUUCUACGAGUAGGAGGAAUGUGGCGAUAGCGUUGAAGCUUUGCACGUAAGUGUGAGUGGAGCUGUUGCUAGUACAGAUCUUGGUGGUAGUAGCAAACAAACAAGUGACAACCUUGUUGACCGACGUGGAUACGGGUUCCAUGAGAACAGUAAUUGGCCAUGGGUUAGUCGAUCCUGAGGGGUGCGGUGAAAACCGUUUCGUAAGAAGUAUUCUUUUUGAAUGCACCUCGAAAGGGAAUGAGGUUAAUAUUCCUCAACCUUAAUUGUGGCAUUUUUUUAUGUAAAGCGGUAACGCAUUCGAACUCAGAGACAUCAGCUAAAGUUCUGGGUAGGGUUAUCUUUCCUACUUUAAGGUUAUUUUAAGUGCCUUGAAUCAGUUUAGCUGGAGACAGGCAUUUAAAUUGCGAAAUGCAUCGCGCUUCAAGUGGUGUAUCAGUGUACUUUGGUUGAUCCUUGAAAAUCUGGGUGAGUGUUAUAAACCACAAUAAGAUCGUACCUGGAUCCGCAACCGGUAUCCUAGGUGAACAGCCUCUGGUCUAAUAGAAAAAUGUAGGUAAGGGAAGUCGGCAAAGCUGAUCUGUAUCUUUGGUACAAAGGUUGGCUCUGGCGUGUUUGCUAAUUGCGUUAAAAUUAGUAUUUAAGAAUUAAUCAUGUGCACUGGCUGAUUUUAAUUAAUUGGACGGGGUUAUUGUGCAAUUUUUGAAGAAAAUUUUAAGUACGAUUAGCAAAUAAAACAAUUAGUCAGAACUAUCAUUGACUGUUCGGAAUCUGACUGUUUAAUUAAAACAUAGCAUUGAGAUGACUGGUGACCCAGUGUUGACUCAAUGUGAAUUCUGCCCAGUGCUCUGAAUGUCAACGUGUAGAAAUUCAAUGAAGCGCGGGUAAACGGCGGGAGUAACUAUGACUCUCUUAAGGUAGCCAAAUGCCUCGUCAUCUAAUUAGUGACGUGCAUGAAUGGAUUAACGAGAUUCCAUCUGUCCCUACUUACUAUCUAGCGAAACCACAGCCAAGGGAACGGGCUUGGAAAAAUCAGCGGGGAAAGAAGACCCUGUUGAGCUUGACUCUAGUCUGGCAUUGUGAGGAAACUGUAUCUGGUAUAGCUUAGGUGGGAGGCAUUAGCAAUAAUGUCGUUAUCAACUGUAAAACCACCACAGUACAGCACCACUCACUGACUUAGUUAUGAGGCUUACUUUAGGAAAAAUAUUUUUAAAUAUUUUUUUUAAAGGAAUCUUCAAAAUAGUGAAUUAAGUCGGCGUGGUAGAUUGUUAUUUAAUAUUAAAUUUCGAUUUAAUAUUAAAUCAAUUUACAUUUAACACACCGUCAAGGCAUUAUCUAAGGACAGUGUCAGGCGGGGAGUUUGACUGGGGCGGUACAUCUAUCAAAUGCUAACGUAGAUGUCCUAAUGUUAGCUCAGUGAGAACAGAAAUCUCACGUAGAAUAUAAGGGUACAAGCUAGCUUGAUUCUGAAUAUCAGUAUGAUUGCGAGACAAGAAAUUGUGGCCUAACGAUCCUUUUGAAAAGCAAAAUAUUAUUAAUGCAUAAUGCAAGAGGUGUCAGAAAAGUUACCACAGGGAUAACUGGCUUGUGGCGGCCAAGCGUUCAUAGCGACGCCGCUUUUUGAUCCUUCGAUGUC